UUUCCGUAGGUGAACCUGCGGAAGGAUCAUUAACACGUUUAUCACAACUUAAACCAAAACCUGUGCACUGAGGUGGAUUUAAAGAAAAAAUCGAAUCUUUUUUUUGAAAGUGACCCCUGUGUUCUCAUAGGGACUCGCGCGAGAUGGAUUCUUUUUUUUUCUUCUAAUCUACCGCCUUUUCUUAACCGUUAUACCCUUGAUCAAAUCGUUCUUCGGAACUUUUGAGAGAGGAAUGCCAUCUUAUUUUUUUAAACUUAUGUGCUCCUUUGUGUACAUCGAAACAUGUCACAAAGACACUUAAAAACAAACGCGAACAACUCUUAGCAACGGAUAUCUUGGUUCCC
RNAcentral lists this unclassified non-coding RNA (344 nucleotides) under plant metagenome. RNAcentral describes it as "partial contains small subunit ribosomal RNA, internal transcribed spacer 1, and 5.8S ribosomal RNA". The record is from RNAcentral.